GACGAACGCUGGCGGCGUGCCUAAUACAUGCAAGUCGAGCGGACCAAAGGGAGCUUGCUCCUGGAGGUUAGCGGCGAACGGGUGAGUAACACGUGGGCAACCUGCCUGUAAGACUGGGAUAACAUCGAGAAAUCGGUGCUAAUACCGGAUAAUAAAAAGAACUGCAUGGUUCUUUUUUGAAAGAUGGUUUCGGCUAUCACUUACAGAUGGGCCCGCGGCGCAUUAGCUAGUUGGUGAGGUAACGGCUCACCAAGGCGACGAUGCGUAGCCGACCUGAGAGGGUGAUCGGCCACACUGGGACUGAGACACGGCCCAGACUCCUACGGGAGGCAGCAGUAGGGAAUCUCCGCAAUGGACGAAAGUCUGACGGAGCAACGCCGCGUGAGUGAUGAAGGUUUUCGGAUCGUAAAACUCUGUUGUUAGGGAAGAACAAGUGCCGUUCGAAAGGGCGGCACCUUGACGGUACCUAACGAGAAAGCCACGGCUAACUACGUGCCAGCAGCCGCGGUAAAG
This 513-nucleotide ribosomal RNA is filed under the name uncultured bacterium. Its description in RNAcentral is "bacterial SSU rRNA". It matches the Rfam family "Bacterial small subunit ribosomal RNA", at positions 28 to 525 of the family's 1533-position model. The record is from RNAcentral.